RNAcentral lists this ribosomal RNA (380 nucleotides) under Unionicola sp. HBW-2010. RNAcentral describes it as "12S ribosomal RNA". The record is from RNAcentral. Lineage: Eukaryota; Metazoa; Arthropoda; Arachnida; Trombidiformes; Unionicolidae.
AAACUAGGAUUAGAUACCCUUUUAUUAUUUUUUAAGGUAUUAAAAGAUUUUCUUUAAACCUAAUGAUUCUGGCGGUUUUCUUUCUUUUCAGAGGGGCUUGUUUAUUGAUCGAUAGUCCUCGUUUAUUUUUUCUCUUUUUUUUAGUUUGUAUACCUCCGUUUGAAGAUGAAUAUUAAUUUUUCUUUCUUUUUAAAUUUUUAUUUAAUUCAGGUCAAGGUUCAAUUUAUGAUUUAGAUUAAAUUAGCCAUAUAUUUUUAUUCUUUUUUUGAUUGAAUUUUUAGGAUUUGUUUGUAAAAUUAAGGUAACUUUUUACUUUGAAUUAGUUAAAGAAGAUGUACAUAUCGCCCGUCACUCUUUAGAAGAUAAGUCGUAACAUAGUA